UGGGGAAUUGUUCGCAAUGGGCGCAAGCCUGACGACGCAACGCCGCGUGGAGGACGAAGAUCUUCGGGUCGUAAACUCCUUUCGAUCGGGAAGAACGGCUUCCGGGUGAACAAUCCGGGAGAGUGACGGUACCGAGAGAAGAAGCCCCGGCUAACUCUGUGCCAGCAGCCGCGGUAAUACAGGGGGGGCAAGCGUUGUUCGGAAUUACUGGGCGUAAAGGGCUCGUAGGCGGCCAACUAAGUCACACGUGAAAUCCCCAGGCUUAACCUGGGAACUGCGUGUGAUACUGGAUGGCUUGAAUUCGGGAGAGGGAUGCAGAAUUCCAGGUGUAGCGGUGAAAUGCGUAGAUAUCUGGAGGAAUACCGGUGGCGAAGGCGGCAUCCUGGACCGACAUUGACGCUGAGGAGCGAAAGCUAGGGGAGCAAACGGG
This 430-nucleotide ribosomal RNA is filed under the name Fusobacteriota bacterium. RNAcentral's name for it is "Fusobacteria bacterium partial 16S ribosomal RNA". It matches the Rfam family "Bacterial small subunit ribosomal RNA", at positions 355 to 776 of the family's 1533-position model. The record is from RNAcentral. Lineage: Bacteria; Fusobacteriati; Fusobacteriota.